RNAcentral lists this small RNA (589 nucleotides) under Pan troglodytes (chimpanzee). Its description in RNAcentral is "retained intron". Lineage: Eukaryota; Metazoa; Chordata; Mammalia; Primates; Hominidae. The record is from RNAcentral.
GGUACUUGGAGUGAAGUAGAAGACUUAUGACACGAUUACGUGUUGUUUGGAAAUAUUUAGAAAGUGUGUUCAUAGUUGAUCUAUUAAGCAGUCAAUGAUUUGUUGACUGGGCAAGUCUGCCACACUUUUACAAAUUUUCCAGUUUCCAAACACCUGGAAGAAGCAUCAAGUAAAACUUCAAAACAAAGACCUGUUGGAUACACAGCCUAGACUUACUUUUUUGUUUUUUGUUUUUUCUGAUAGAAACAUGAGUUCUGCUGGCCCUGAUGGGAGAAAAGCGAUGAGAAGAUGUGACGGACUCAUUGACUCACUGGUCCAUUAUGUCAGAGGAACCAUUGCAGAUUACCAGCCAGAUGACAAGGCCACGGAGAAUUGUGUGUGCAUUCUUCAUAACCUCUCCUACCAGCUGGAGGCAGAGCUCCCGGAGAAAUAUUCCCAGAAUAUCUAUAUUCAAAACCGGAAUAUCCAGACUGACAACAACAAAAGUAUUGGAUGUUUUGGCAGUCGAAGCAGGAAAGUAAAAGAGCAAUACCAGGACGUGCCGAUGCCGGAGGAAAAGAGCAACCCCAAGGGCGUGGAGUGGCUGUGG